Molecule: ribosomal RNA, 301 nt
Filed under: uncultured bacterium
Lineage: Bacteria
Description: partial 16S ribosomal RNA
Rfam family: Bacterial small subunit ribosomal RNA
Source: RNAcentral
CAGUCGCCGCGGUAAUACGGGGGGGGCAAGUGUUAUUCGGAAUGACUGGGCGUAAAGGGCACGUAGGCGGUGAAAAGGGUGGAAAGUGAAAGUCGCCAAAACACUGGCGGGGUGCUUUCUUGACCAUUUCACUUGAGUGAGAUAGGGGAGAGUGGAAUUUCGUGUGGAGGGAUCAAAUCCUAAGAUAUACGAAGGAACGCCAACCGCGAAGGCAGCUCUCUGGGUCCCCACUGACGCUGGGGUGCGAAAGCAUGGGGAGCAAACAGGAUCAGAGACCCCGGUAGUCCCUGUCUCUUAUACA